This 364-nucleotide ribosomal RNA is filed under the name uncultured Bellilinea sp. RNAcentral's name for it is "bacterial SSU rRNA". It matches the Rfam family "Bacterial small subunit ribosomal RNA", at positions 526 to 873 of the family's 1533-position model. Lineage: Bacteria; Bacillati; Chloroflexota; Anaerolineae; Anaerolineales; Anaerolineaceae. The record is from RNAcentral.
CGUAGGAGACGAGCGUUAUCCGGAUUUACUGGGCGUAAAGCGCGUGCAGGCGGUUCAGCAAGUUGGAUGUGAAAGCUCCCGGCUUAACUGGGAGAGGUCGUUCAAUACUACUGGACUUGAGAGUGGUAGAGGGAGGUGGAAUUCCGGGUGUAGUGGUGAAAUGCGUAGAUAUCCGGAGGAACACCAGUGGCGAAAGCGGCCUCCUGGACCACUUCUGACGCUCAGACGCGAAAGCUAGGGUAGCGAACGGGAUUAGAGACCCCGGUAGUCCUAGCCGUAAACGAAGUAGACUUGGCGUUGGUGGGUUCAAAUCCAUCAGUGCCGAAGCUAACGCGAUAAGUCUACCGCAUGGACUCCCCCCCCG